UAGGGAAUCUUCGGCAAUGGGGGGAACCCUGACCGAGCAACGCCGCGUGAGUGAAGAAGGUUUUCGGAUCGUAAAGCUCUGUUGUUAAGGAAGAACGAGUGUGAGAAUGGAAAGUUCAUACUGUGACGGUACUUAACCAGAAAGGGACGGCUAACUACGUGCCAGCAGCCGCGGUAAUACGUAGGUCCCGAGCGUUGUCCGGAUUUAUUGGGCGUAAAGCGAGCGCAGGCGGUCAAUUAAGUCUGAUGUGAAAGCCCCCGGCUCAACCGGGGAGGGUCAUUGGAAACUGGUUGACUUGAGUGCAGAAGAGGAGAGUGGAAUUCCAUGUGUAGCGGUGAAAUGCGUAGAUAUAUGGAGGAACACCGGUGGCGAAAGCGGCUCUCUGGUCUGUAACUGACGCUGAGGCUCGAAAGCGUGGGGAGCGAACAGG
This 430-nucleotide ribosomal RNA is filed under the name Bacteroidota bacterium. Its description in RNAcentral is "Bacteroidetes bacterium partial 16S ribosomal RNA". It matches the Rfam family "Bacterial small subunit ribosomal RNA", at positions 355 to 776 of the family's 1533-position model. Lineage: Bacteria; Pseudomonadati; Bacteroidota. The record is from RNAcentral.